AGACUCUUCAUCAUCCAUCACUACACACAUCUCCUCUUGCAAACCAACAAAAAACCCUAACUAAGAGAUCAAUAUGGCUGGAGUGAUGAAGUUGGCAUGCUUGGUCUUGGCCUGCAUGAUUGUGGCCGGUCCAAUGACAGCGAACGCGGCUCUGAGUUGUGGCACCGUUAACAGCAACUUGGCAGGGUGCAUUGGCUACUUGACCCAAGGUGCAGCCCUUACCCAAGGGUGUUGUAAUGGCGUUACUAACCUAAGAAACAUGGCUCGUACAACCCCAGACCGUCAGCAAGCUUGCCGUUGCCUUCAAUCUGCCGCUAGAGCUGUUGGCCCUGGUCUCAACACUGGCCGUGCAGCUGGACUUCCUAGCGCAUGCAAAGUCAAUAUUCCUUACAAAAUCAGCACCAGCACUAACUGCAACACGUAUGUUAAUCUCUCACUCUUAAGUAUAUAUUAUAAAGAAUUUUUUUGUUGUUAAAUAUUGGAAACUUAUAUUGACGGUGUUAUGUUAAUUUGUAUGUGAAUGCAGCGUGAGGUGAUGAGCGACAGUCAAAUGAAGCUACUAGCGGAUGUUUCGAAUACUAUAUAAUCGAUGAGAUAAUAAUACUAAAUAAAAUGUUCGAAUGGCUGUUUUUAGAGUUUUAUAUUUCCUGUUUUUUUCUAUCGUGGCGUUUCUAUUAUGUUGUCGUCUGUACUCUGUACUAUGUUCGCAAACAACGUUAUAUGAAUUUCAGUUUCAAUUUAAGUUAUUCUAUACUCUUAUUAACGCUUACUUUAGUUUAAUCGAUAUGACAAAAAUGAUUAAUUUGCAAUACCGUUGGGGAGUAUCAAGUAUAACAACAUUUUGUAUUUAUUUGUGAUAUCGGGAAUCUCAAAACCAAAGUCCACACUAAUUUUUUGACUAGACAUAAAGUCAGAUACUAAUACUAUAGUUGAAAUGUACAUUCGAAAAAAUGACUUUCCGAUCCAAAUGUAAGUUAUUUACAUUAUUUGUUAUUAUAAUAAAAACAAUAAAAUGUCUAAGGGUCUAAAUGGUAACCAAAGAAUCUGACUGAAUCCGGCUGAAUUGUUGAAUUUGGCUGAAUUUUUAGUGAUUUUUAACUGAAUCUGGCUGAAUUUUUACAUUUUCAAAUGGUACCUGCUGAAUUUAGCUGAAUUUUUUUGUGCUUUUCAGCAGAAUCUGUCGAAAUAAUUAAGACUUUAACUGAAAUAUCAUCAAAUAAUUACGAAUAUUAAUAGAAUAACUAAGGAAAAAUAUCUAAAUAAAAUAAAUAAAAUUAUCUAAUAGUCUAAUUAACUCUUAUACCAAUAAAUAAAUACUAGAAUUAAUAUCUUUUUAGCAAAAUUGAGUUGUUCUUCCAGAUCUAAUUUUUGAACUAUUAAAAAGAUAUAAUUAAUUAAUAGAAAGCUUUGUCAAAGUUUUAUUGAAAAAUUAAUUUAAAAAUAAACAUGAUAAUAUAGUAUAGAUUAUCUUAUUGAUUUUUUAUUGUUUUCUAGCGGUUUAAAUCCUUAAUAUGAUUAGGAAUUUAGGAUGAUUAACAAUUUUUUUUAGUUUGAUAUUUUAAAUAUUAUUCUAGCAUAAGUAUGAGUUAUUUUUGCAAAAAUUUGGAAAAUUAUAUUUAAGUAUCUAAAAUUUAUUAAAAUUAUCUAUAGAUAUCUGAACAUAAAUAUGUCUCUUGUCUAUUCUGGUAAUGAUUUUAUGUGUAUGAAUGAUUCAUAUAUCGUAUUUGUAUGAUCUAACUUAUUUUAAAAUAUAUAUUUGAUGUGUAAUUUUUAAUAGCCAUAAAUAUUUUAAUUCGAGUUGUGAAUCGCUAUAAUCCAAAUUUUUAUCUGAAAUGAACAUACUAUGUAUCUGUUGAUGUUGGAAAAACUGUUGAAUCUGGCUGAAUUCAGCUGAAUUUAAUUAGUUUUAUGCAAAUGGUAACUGCGGAAUUGCUGAAUUUGGCUGAAUCUGACUGAAUAUUUUUUUCUUGUUACCAUUUACACUCUAAGUUUUAAAUCUUAUAUCAUUAUAUCCAAACAAUUUUUCACAAUUUUUUUAAUCCUCUUCUGUUCAUACAAUCGAACACAAUUUUUGAAACAAAUUAACCUUUGCAAUACGACAUCGGAUAGAAACUAAUUCCCUAUCAAUUGGGAAGUGACAUAUAAUUUUACAACAGGAAAUAAAGUAGGAGUUUCUCCAAGUUUGUAUUUUCCGAAUAAAGUAUUCUCCAAGUUUGCAAUAUUUACUGGUGAAUGAUAACCGUUUAAGACCAAGCAUGACAACUUAACUAAAGUUACUGUCACACUCUACAAAUACGUUAAUGAAAUGUAUUUUAGUAGAAUUAUCACUUUUCAUACGAUAAAGUUAAAUUAACAUGUCAAAACAAAAUCGAGGAGUGGUCCUAUACAUAGUUAGGAAUUAGGAACCUCAACAUUAAAUGAGUACAACAACCAACUACUCUCCUUCCCUCUAUAAUCUAUCGCAUUCACACCACAUAACAAAUACUUUCCUACUCUAUAUAAACACACACUCCCCUAACUCUCUUCAUCAUCCAUCACUCACACACAUCUCCUCUUGCAAACCAACAUAAAACACUAACUAAGAGAUCAAUAUGGCUGGAGUGAUGAAGUUGGCAUGCUUGGUCUUGGCCUGCAUGAUUGUGGCCGGCCCAAUCACAUCGAACGCGGCUCUAAGCUGUGGCUCAGUUAACAGCAACUUGGCACCGUGCAUUGGUUACGUGCUCCAAGGUGGUACCAUUCCCGCAGGGUGCUGCUCC
This 2756-nucleotide long non-coding RNA is filed under the name Arabidopsis lyrata. RNAcentral's name for it is "long non-coding RNA (ALYR_LNC002132)". Lineage: Eukaryota; Viridiplantae; Streptophyta; Magnoliopsida; Brassicales; Brassicaceae. The record is from RNAcentral.